CUGGGUGUGAUGCACACUAACAUCUGACCUGACAAUGAAGGUGUUUGUAUUCAUACUGUCUGAUCCAG
This 68-nucleotide small nucleolar RNA is filed under the name Anabas testudineus (climbing perch). Lineage: Eukaryota; Metazoa; Chordata; Actinopteri; Anabantiformes; Anabantidae. The record is from RNAcentral.